RNAcentral lists this transfer RNA (84 nucleotides) under bacterium. RNAcentral describes it as "tRNA-Leu". It matches the Rfam family "tRNA". From Rfam's summary of the family: Transfer RNA (tRNA) molecules are approximately 80 nucleotides in length. The record is from RNAcentral. RNAcentral also lists the same sequence under 2 other names.
GCCGAAGUGGUGGAAUUGGUAGACACGCAUGCUUGAGGGGCAUGUGAGGGAAACCUUGUGCCGGUUCGAGUCCGGCCUUCGGCA